Molecule: ribosomal RNA, 240 nt
Filed under: uncultured Lactobacillus sp.
Lineage: Bacteria; Bacillati; Bacillota; Bacilli; Lactobacillales; Lactobacillaceae
Description: partial 16S ribosomal RNA
Rfam family: Bacterial small subunit ribosomal RNA
Source: RNAcentral
UAACCUGCCCAAGAGAUCGGGAUAACACCUGGAAACAGAUGCUAAUACCGGAUAACAACAGAUGAUGCCUAUCAACUGUUUAAAAGAUGGUUCUGCUAUCACUCUUGGAUGGAACUGCGGUGCAUUAGCUAGUUGGUAGGGUAACGGCCUACCAAGGCGAUGAUGCAUAGCCGAGUUGAGAGACUGAUCGGCCACAUUGGGACUGAGACACGGCCCAAACUCCUACGGGAGGCAGCAGCC